CACGAGUCGUCCCUCAUGCCCCCGCUCCUCUUCCUCCUGCGGCAUGGCCAUCUCCCAUCCACGCUGUAAUCCCUUUGAUAAAAAGGCCACGAUUCAAUCCUUCCAGAUUACAGGAAAUUUUCACCUCAAAGAGGGCAAAAGAGAGGCUCAACCGAAGCGGAUAUUAAGACGAUCGAUGACCUAUAUACCACACUGGCGGCACACAGGCUGUAGGUGGCAUGCAUGGCGUUGUCUGAAUCACAAGAGAGGAGAACAUCUGCCACAAGAGUAGAUGAGGGAGGAGAGGAGAAAAACACCUGCUCGGUUCAAGGAGUCAUUGAUCUGGAAAAAAGGUCCUGAUCUGGGAGAGGUGUACUGACGGCAAUUUUAAGUAGGCUGGGCUGAGUGAAGAAACUGCAGCGGAUUCGCGGUGCCGUGAUUUCUGCUAUAUUCUCCAUCCUUUGAAUUCA
Triticum dicoccoides is the source of this 449-nucleotide long non-coding RNA. RefSeq lists it as uncharacterized. NCBI's taxonomy places the organism in Eukaryota, Viridiplantae, Streptophyta, Magnoliopsida, Poales, Poaceae. The transcript is spliced from 3 exons. The record is from RefSeq and is a predicted model, not a curated record.